UCUGAGCAGCCGAGCGGAUUGCGCUCUCCGUGCAGCUUCCCUCCAGAUUGCGUAACUUUUGAACCCGCCGUUACAUUCACCGUUAUUUUUGUCAGGGCCAGCCUUUAAGUUCCUGACUCGUAUUCGUUCAUGAACUGCGGAGCGCCAGACUGCCUUCCACAUCUUCUUUGCUCACGCACAUACCUACGUGCAAGAGAGAAGGCGCGUGAGGGUGAAGACGCCGAUCAUGUACCGUCUGCAGGUGCCGAAAGGGGCACACGAAAACGCCGCCGCCCAAAGGGCCACCACGAAACUCCUGAACUCUAAGAACCCAGUAAGAAGACCUGCUGAAUUAAGGAGCUACAGCCCAGCAGCCUGUUCGAAACCAGGUUUAUCAAGGUCGAUGCCUGUAAUGGACGUUACUCGGAGGCACUCAUAUUUAAUGUUGAUUGCUAGUUUGUCUAGUCGUGUUUACUUUUUGCAAUAAAAAAUGUUAUUGCUGUAUGUGUUUCGUGUAUUGCACAAGCGCAAACCUGCAUGCCGCUGGCCGGCGAAACGCCACAGGGGCAUGGGGAGAGGGAACGAAAGGGAGACGAGGGUGGCUUUAGAGGGGAGGGUGAAAGAAAACGGAUGUCAAAAUCCCGAUUGUAGCAGGAUUCAAUCUGUAUUUUUUAAAUGCUUCUAAUCGUCUUACAAAAUCCCAUUUCAAGACGGGAUUUUUUUAAACUACUUUAAGCAGGAUUCUAGAACUUCUUGCAAUAGUCAUAUUCGCCGGACAUUAGCAACGAUAUACGACCGUUUAUCACCUUCUAAACGGACUGCACGGAUUUUUUAGUGCGUCUUUCAGACGUUCAUUUAGUC
This is a long non-coding RNA of Dermacentor silvarum, 840 nucleotides long. RefSeq lists it as uncharacterized. Lineage: Eukaryota; Metazoa; Arthropoda; Arachnida; Ixodida; Ixodidae. The record is from RefSeq and is a predicted model, not a curated record. The transcript is spliced from 3 exons.